CUAAAGAAGAUGGAUCCUUGGGUAGACUGGUCAAUGACGAGCACAAAAAUCCCACCUGCAAAAUGAGAAUAAUUACAGUGAACCAGCAACCACAUCUUUGUCUUUUUGCUGUCCAAGACAUUAAACCAGGAGAAGAGAUUACUUACAGUUAUGGAGACUCGGAUUGGCCUUGGCGAGCCAAGCGUUCAUCACCUGCCCCUGUGACUGCUACAUCAUCCUCAUCCUCAUCUUUACCUGUGAGGAAACGUUCAUCACCUGCCCCUGUGACUGCUACAUCAUCCU
Molecule: long non-coding RNA, 282 nt
Organism: Cyprinus carpio carpio
Lineage: Eukaryota; Metazoa; Chordata; Actinopteri; Cypriniformes; Cyprinidae
Source: Ensembl